AUGAUGCUUUCUGCUGCUUCCAGUGCCCAGGCUGUGGCUUUGGAGGACUUCCAGAGGGCACCUGAAGGAGCUUUCAUGAAUCAUUCCAGAUGGAAGAGUCACUUGUGGACUUAUGGUAACACCAUGACUUUGCGGCCAAGAAAUCCUCAGGGGUGGUUUUGCCAAUUCCUUCAUCUGAAAUAUUGCCCACAGGAUUUGGUGGCCUCCCAUUCAAGUACUAGUCAAGGAUUACCUGGCUUAGCUCUCAAGAUUAAAUAGUGCUUAUAUGCUUAUAAUUCUAAUGUUAUUUCCUCCAGUAUUUCUGCCUAUAGUUCAGUUUCCAUAAAUAUGUGGAAUGGGUUGCUUUCUGUGAGUUUUUCGGACUGUAUGGCCAUGUUCCAGUAACAUUCUCUCGCACGAAAAGAAUGCUGCUGGAACAUGGACAUAUAGCCCAAAAAACUCACAGCAACCCAGUGAUUUUGUAACCAAAUUUGAAAAAUGUUCUGUUCCUGAUUUGAAAGUGCUAUUUCCUGUUUAAUUGUAUGGUACUUACUUUGAAAGUAGUUGUUAUACUCCAGAAACUUGGGCUCAGGCUGUGGCACAGGCUGGAGAGCAGCUGCAAUGAAUCACUGCAAUGAAUCACUCUGACCAGGAGGUCAUGGGUUCGAGGCCCGCUUGGAGCCUAUGUUUGUCUUGUCUUUGUUCUAUGUUAAAAGGCAUUGAAUGUUUGCCUAUAUGUGUAAUGUGAUCUGCCCUGAGUCCCCUUCGGGGUGAGAAGGGUGGAAUAUAAAUGCUGUAAAUAAAUAAAUAAAUAAUAAACUUCAUUUUUGUGGUUGCCAUGAACUAUGUUGACUUGGUUGAGGUUCUAUGAGAUAUUCACUGGAAAACGGUAGCAAAAUGUACUGCAGGAUGUCCCACAAAUACCAUUGUUUGUAGUUUAAUAAACUUUCCCCAUGUUUUUAUGAUUGAACCAGGUAGGAAAUGACAUUUAUAACCCCGGAACAAAAGUCAUGUUACAUAGUGUUGUUUAUGACCUCAUCAUACAGGUGAGGUCCCCACCGGAAACAUCUUGAAAUGUUUUCUCACCACUUUGGGGAUCAAUGGGGCAGGGCCAAGCAGGCAUCAUGUGAAGGUGCUCAGCAAGCCCCUGUCAAGAUGCUGCAACCAGGGUUUAGCAAGAGUAGUCAAGACAGUCCACAGCUGACACUUCGGCCUCUUCCACACAGCUGAAUAAAAUCCCACAUCAUCUGCUUUGAACUGGAAUAUAUGGCAGUCUGGACUCAAUAACCCAGGUCAAAGCAAAUAUUGUGGGAUUUUCUGCCUUAAUAUACUGGGUUAUAUGGCUGUAUGGAAGUGCCCAGAGAUAGCACUUUCAGAGUUCUAAUUCAAGUUCAAAUCAAGUAGCAGGCACAAGGAGUAUUCCAAAAGUCCGGUCCAAAGCCAAACACACAAGCAGCUCAUCAAUAUCCAUGGUACAAAAUACAAAGUCCAAGGGGCAAAGUCACCAGCUGAAACACCCAAAACAACUAUUACUUCCAGCAAGGUACUGUUGCCAACAUUAAUCUUUUAUGCUGCCUCUGAAAAAGUCCUAUAGCUCCUCUUUUGGGAAAAUCUUUUGGAUUUCCUGUAUAGAUCAAAUUAGGAACAGAGUCUUUUUUAUCCAACAUAAAUGGGCCAGCAGAAUGUUGGAUAAGCAAAAUGUUGGAUUAUAAGGAGGGAUUAAGAAAAAACCUAUUAAACUUCAAAUUACAUUAUGAUUUUACAAAUUAAGCACCAAAACAUCAUGUUUUACUACAAAUGGUCAGAAAAUGCAGUUCAAUACAUGGUAACAUUAUGUAGUGAUUAAUGCAUUUAUGAAUUUAGCACCAAAACAUCGCAAUAUAUUGAAAACAUUGACUACAAAAACAUUGAUUACUAAAAGGCAGAUUGUGUUGGAUAAUACAGAACGUUGGAUGAGUGAAGGUUGGAUAAGUGAGACUCUACUGCACUAACAAAUAAAUCCACAAAGGAUCAGUUUUUUCAAAAUCUGGGAAUGAAAUUAUGUAUGCAAAUGCCAAUGAUGAAAGAUUUCCUGCACUUCAUUCCCUGGCUCCCCUGUCUUUACUUUAGUGACAACCUGCUUCCAAGCUGAAGGAAACAGACCAAUAGUUGUAUGGUGACAAUUUUCUAGUGAAAUUGCAAAAUAAUGCUGGAUUCAAUUUGUGCAAAUUGCCACACACUUUAGUAGCUGUUGAGCUGUUGAAACAAUAUUUACAGUUUUAUUUAUUGUAAUUUAAGAACUGUGAGGAAUGUUUGCCAGUAUUACACCCCCCCCCCCAAAAAAAACACAAAAAAUUCAAAGAUGCAAUUGAUACCUAGCUUUACAAUGUACAUAAGUCUCUAGAGAGAUUUUUCGAAUCUGUUUUAAAUUACGGACUUGGGAAAAAACAAAUAAAAAAGAAUAAAAGGUAGUUGUUGAAAGUUAAAUUGUCUUCAACUCAUAUCUGUAAACCAGAUUCUCAUUUUUAUUUAACUGUUGCCUUUUCAUUCAGAAACUCAUUUCUUUACCAAAUCUGUUUUGCUUUCUCUCUCCCUUUCAAUCUUUCUUUAAAUAAAAGAGACAUUUUGUUUCUCCAUCCUCCCCUCCCAUUGUUGCAGCUGCUUCUCCUGAUGGUGUUCUCCUCCUGCUUGCCAGGGAAAUGUUUCCCAUCUAUUUGCAUUGCAUUUUAUUGAUAUUAUCCUUCUCUUCAUCCAUCCAUGAACUUUGAAAAUCUUAACAAAGAACCUAACAGGAAUUGCCCACAUCAAUGUAUGUAUAUUAUCCCAUCAUUUAAAUUUCUAGAAAUACAAACUAAUUUAAUAUCCGUUUCUUCUUUCACUCUCUGCUAGGAGAAAAAGAAAUAUGAGAGUUGUGAGCAAAAUUCAUUAUUUAUAAGCAGCCAGGCUUUGAAGCUGCAAGGCUAUUCAAUGCUUAUCAAGGUGGCUAAUUAAAAACAUUCACACUUGCUUCAAACAAACAAGAGUUCUUUCUCCCACCCUAGACAUCAUUCCACAGAUAUAUAAACCCCACUUGCCUAGUUUCUAACAGACCUCACAACCUCUGAGGAUGUGGGUAAAACGUCAGGAGAUAAUGCUUCUGGAAUAUGGCUAUACAGCCCAGAAAACUCACAGCAACCCAAUUCCUUCCUUCAUUGGUUCCUUCCUUUUUUCGUUCCGUCCUUCCUUGAUAACAUACCUGCUAGCUUUCCAUAGAUAAAAA
RNAcentral lists this long non-coding RNA (3217 nucleotides) under Anolis carolinensis (green anole). Its description in RNAcentral is "lncRNA (ENSACAG00000035462.1)". Lineage: Eukaryota; Metazoa; Chordata; Lepidosauria; Squamata; Anolidae. The record is from RNAcentral.